This 253-nucleotide ribosomal RNA is filed under the name uncultured bacterium. Its description in RNAcentral is "partial 16S ribosomal RNA". It matches the Rfam family "Bacterial small subunit ribosomal RNA", at positions 524 to 776 of the family's 1533-position model. The record is from RNAcentral.
UACGAAGGGGGCUAGCGUUGCUCGGAAUCACUGGGCGUAAAGGGUGCGUAGGCGGGGCUUUAAGUCAGGGGUGAAAUCCUGGAGCUCAACUCCAGAACUGCCUUUGAUACUGAAGAUCUUGAGUUCGGGAGAGGUGAGUGGAACUGCGAGUGUAGAGGUGAAAUUCGUAGAUAUUCGCAAGAACACCAGUGGCGAAGGCGGCUCACUGGCCCGGAACUGACGCUGAGGUACGAAAGCGUGGGGAGCAAACAGG